RNAcentral lists this transfer RNA (83 nucleotides) under Pseudooceanicola nitratireducens. RNAcentral describes it as "Oceanicola sp. JLT1210 tRNA". It matches the Rfam family "tRNA". From Rfam's summary of the family: Transfer RNA (tRNA) molecules are approximately 80 nucleotides in length. Their secondary structure includes four short double-helical elements and three loops (D, anti-codon, and T loops). Further hydrogen bonds mediate the characteristic L-shaped molecular structure. tRNAs have two regions of fundamental functional importance: the anti-codon, which is responsible for specific mRNA codon recognition, and the 3' end, to which the tRNAs corresponding amino acid is attached (by aminoacyl-tRNA synthetases). tRNAs cope with the degeneracy of the genetic code in two manners: having more than one tRNA (with a specific anti-codon) for a particular amino acid; and 'wobble' base-pairing, i.e. permitting non-standard base-pairing at the 3rd anti-codon position. Lineage: Bacteria; Pseudomonadati; Pseudomonadota; Alphaproteobacteria; Rhodobacterales; Paracoccaceae. The record is from Rfam by way of RNAcentral.
GCCCGCGUGGUGGAAUGGUAGACACAGGGGACUUAAAAUCCCUAGGCUUUGAUGCCGUGCCGGUUCGAGUCCGGCCGCGGGUA